GAGAACUAUUUAACUAUGAAUGUAAUAUUAGUGGUAUUCAAGUCUCAUUAAUUAACAGUGUCGAAAACAACAGAGUUGGCCAUACAUUGGAGUUUACUUAGAACACAAAUAGCAAACAGGGCUGGGUUGUAUUCAAGUCUCCUGCUGCCUUGUAGAACCAUCUGGAAAGUCCAGCAGAACAGCUGGUUUUGCAGCUGACCGUAUCAGAGCAUGCUCACAGUAGAUCACAGGUAUGAUUUCUUCCUCACACUUUUUAGUUACUGCUGUUAAAAUUCUCGCAGCUUUUAAAUACUGCGUAUGCUUUUUGUCUUAACAGAACAAUAAUCAAGGGGUAUUUCAGCUAUGGAGUUCUCCUGUUAAUAAAGGAAGUAUCAUAGAUAAAAGGUAAGAAAACUAUAUAUAAAAAUAUAUUUAUAUAUUGAGAUAGGGUCUUACCGUGUAGGCCUGGAACUUGGACAUCUAUUCCCAAGUGCUGGGAUUAAGGGUGGGUACCACCAAACCGAACAGGAAAUAGAUUUUUAACAUUCCACUUAAAUAUGCCUGUUAAAUACUAGAGAUAUAAGGAUCAAAUACAACCAUAAAAUAGAUAUCCUGUGCAAAUAUAGGAAAUUACAGAAAUUCUGUCUAAAAUAGUCAGUGACUGACAAUAGCACCCGACAGCCAGUGUGUAUGUACUGAGAGCCCUGUGAGACUUAGCUGAGUUGUACUGGGCUUCUUAUAUUGGAGAGAAAGGAACAAAAGUACAGUUUCCUAUGCUAGAACUAUUUAAUUCCAUACAUCUAAACUCAUUUAACUCUCCUAUCAGUCUAGCACAGUAGAUGCUGCCAGCAUUCCUCUUUUACAGAG
Molecule: long non-coding RNA, 846 nt
Filed under: Rattus norvegicus (Norway rat)
Lineage: Eukaryota; Metazoa; Chordata; Mammalia; Rodentia; Muridae
Description: long non-coding RNA NONRATT012414
Source: RNAcentral